Molecule: ribosomal RNA, 200 nt
Filed under: uncultured bacterium
Lineage: Bacteria
Description: partial 16S ribosomal RNA
Rfam family: Bacterial small subunit ribosomal RNA
Source: RNAcentral
ACGCUCGACACCUACGGAGGCAGCAGUGGGGAAUAUUGGGCAAUGGGCGAAAGCCUGACCCAGCAACGCCGCGUGAGGGAAGAAGGUUUUCGGAUUGUAAACCUCUGUCCUCAGGGACGAAGGACGUGACGGUACCUGAGGAGGAAGCCCCGGCUAACUACGUGCCAGUAGCCGCGGUAAUCUGAGCGGGCUGGCAAGGC